Molecule: long non-coding RNA, 1200 nt
Filed under: Mustela putorius furo (domestic ferret)
Lineage: Eukaryota; Metazoa; Chordata; Mammalia; Carnivora; Mustelidae
Description: lncRNA (ENSMPUG00000024527.1)
Source: RNAcentral
UUUCUCUGGGUGUCGGGUUUCUGUUUCUGCCCGCGGGGCUGGCUGGAAACCAUUCUCGGCCCACGUUCUUCCAGCGGGACAAACAGCUGGGCUGAUUUGGGGUUUGGAAGCCUUGUUGCUUGGCUGUGACAUGGGGUCCUCCGUUCCCAGCAUUUGGGUCGGAAUGGAUUUUGUGAUUUUCCUUUAGGUCCACAGACACAAAAGAAAUGUCUGUCAUUUCUUCACGAUCCCACGCUAUGCGAAAGUGCUCCCUGACAGGGUUUCAGUGUUAUGGGGGGGCAGGGAAGAGGUUGGGGGUGCAUGUAGGCAGGGCAUCAAUAUAGAAACACAGGAGGGUGACUGCUUGCUGGAUGUGAACAUCUUUCUGGUCUAAAAACAGGUCCUUCAGUGUUUGUUUGUUUCAGCUAAUUCCAACAAAAGCCUCUAAAUCACCUUUUUUUUUUUUUUAAAGAUUUUGUUUUUUAUUUUACAGAGAGAGAACAUAAGCAGGGGAAGCAGCAGAGAGAGGAGGAGAAGCAGGCUCCCCACUGAGCAGGGAGCCCAACCUGGGGCUUCAUCCCAGGACCCUGGGAUCAUGAGCUGAGCAGAAGGCAGACACUCAGCUGCAUGAGCUACCCAAGCGCCCCUCCGGCUCAUCUUUGUGAUGGACAGUGAGGCUUCCCUCCUGAGGAGGAGGGCCACUUAGGUCCUUGAAACAAGCCAGACUCGGGUCUUUCGAAGUGUAGAUUUUGGACUGACUACUCUCCGGCAUCGGGCUCCUGGGUGCCCCUGGGAUUUGGGUGGCAGCGGUGCCUUUGCCAAGGACGCAGCAAGGCAGAGUCACUGGAACAGAAGCUUGUCUAUCUCAUGCAACACAGCACCUGCUGCAGGACUGCGGAGAUGACGGUAUAGUGUCUAGUUUCUUGUUCUAUAACCUUCUCUCCUGUGGUCCAAGCUGGUGGCCCCAACUUCCCCUGCCAAAUCUGCAGCCCAGACAGUGGGAGGAAAUGAUGGGCUCUGAAUCUCAGAGUCAGAAAAUGGAUGCUGGAGCAUCUAAGAAAGAAGGAGGCAGCUCCUGCAAUCCUAGGCGUGGGAUCGUGGCCUUCAGCAGCUGGGGGACGCUGACCUUGGGUGGGUGACAACACUAGAUGUCUCCUCCUUCUGAGUUGCUCUGAUUUUUAGAAUGAAUGCAUUAGUUGAAUCUACAUGCUUGUUGUAAAA